Molecule: long non-coding RNA, 2065 nt
Filed under: Lathyrus oleraceus (garden pea)
Lineage: Eukaryota; Viridiplantae; Streptophyta; Magnoliopsida; Fabales; Fabaceae
Description: Pisum sativum (pea) long non-coding RNA (PSAT_LNC019006)
Source: RNAcentral
UUAGACUCUCCUUCACCGCGCCAGAGGUUAACCUCUGGCGGCGGCGGAGCCUCAAUGCUAACACCAAUUACAUCAUCUUUUUCAGUUUAAUGUCUUAGAUCUAAAUAUUGUUAUGACAAGACCUAAAUCUUCAUGAACAGUAUGAAUCGAAGCUAAACCUUGACGAAACCUAAACAUCAUAAACUAAAAUUAAAUUCAUCUCUUCCGGAAUCACAACCCUAGAUGUUAGGGAUUUGAUUCCCCUUACCUCCCUCUACAUCUCGGUAACAAAAAAUGGAGCAAACGACUAUGAAAAAAGAAACUCACCGGAGAAGACGUAGAGCACCGGAAUUCAGGUAAGUCUAUUCUUCCUCUGCUUCUCUUCGAAUCUCUUUCUUAUUUAACUUUCUUCUUCUUCCUUCUUCCUAUAUGAUCGUUUGUUGCGUUCUGAGAUUGAAUGUGUGAAUCUUUGAGUUGAUUUAAGGUGAAGGAUGAAUGAAGAGUUUGAGUCUAUGGGGUGAAAAGAUUGUGAAAAAAUGAUGUGAAUUUGUGAGGGAGAGAGAGAGCUCGAGAGUGAAGACUAAGGGAUUGUGAGAAAUGAGUCUGAGUUGAUGAAGCCUCCUGAAGAAUGGAGAGUGAUGUCAAUUUCUAAGGAUGAGUUAAUAUGAGGUUAUCUCUAUGAGUCUGAUUCAAUCUAAAGUUUGUUGAAUGUUAACUAACAAAGUUAGAAUUAGUUAGUUAGGGAUGAAUAGUUAGUUAGGAUUUCGAAAGUGAAAUGUUAAAUUUGAUUUUCUGUUUAAGUGAUGAAUGAAAUUCAACUUCUGUUAAACUCUGCAGUUAGAUGUUAGUUAAUUGUUAGUUAUCAAACUCAAUUUUUGUUAAGUUGGAAGUGUUUAGUUAGUUAUUUAAGCUCGAUUCAGCUAGAAGUGCAGUUAGAUGAAACUCAAUUAAUGGUUAGCUAUUAUGCCUUUGAUGUAUGUAGAAUUGGUGCAUGAUGAUUGUAUGAUGUUAGUUACCUUUCCCUACUACUGAAGGAACUGUUGUAUGUUAGUAUACACUUACUGUAGGGUUAUUGUUCAAUGUUUGAUGCUUAAUUGGUACAUGUUACAUACAUUUUCUGCAGGAUAAUUGUUGCAGGGUGCUAGGCCUGUUAUGGAGUGUUUAGCUUUAUGUUGCCAUUCCUUGCUUGCUCAUUGAUGCAGGAUAGAUGUUUAGUUUUUAGGCUUUGGAUGGUUGGGCUGCAGAAUCGUGGCAGGUAGUGCUCAUGCGUGUGUGACUGUUGGAUUGAUUGCAUGUCUGCUAAGUUAGUGAAAUGGUUGUAGGCUGAAGUUGGAUUGGUGAUGCUUGCUGCAGGAUUUUGGUUUUCAUGUGAUAGGCAUUUGUUUACGUAUGUGGUCAUUGUAGAUGCUUGAUGCAGAAUGUUGUGAGGUGUGAGCUGUUGUAUUGAUGCAAUGACAAUAGUUGUGCAUUUUUGUAUUCACUUGUUGCAAGUUUAUUGUGAGGUAUGUUCAUGUUGUUGUGUGACUGUUGUAGGCAGGUGUGAGGUAUGAUGGCAAUGGUCAUGUAUGCUAAUACUUUGCCUAGGUUUUUCUUAAGUUGAUAUGAAAUGGUUUAGGUUGGAUUUGGUUAUGUAUUGACAUGUGAAUGGUUUUGAAAUGGUAAUGUGGUUUAGAAUGUGGUCAUGUAAUCUUAUGGUAUUGAAAUGAACAUGUAUUGAAUCAUGACAUUGCCUUAUGUGUUUUUUUGGAUUUUGGUGUUUUGUAGGUGAUGAAUAAAUGCCAAGAUAAUCUUAACUUGAAGACCAAGGAACUAGGACUUAGGGAUGGUAGAAUGCUGAGUUGACUUUGGUCAACUGGCUGACCAAAAAGUCAACAAUUAUCCAAAAAGUCAACUUAUACAAAAAUGAUGUACUUUGUAAUCCUUUUUCAAUGCAAUGUAUAUGAACAAUGUACUUAAUGGAUCUUAUAAAUGCAAUGUAUUUCCUAAUUAAAAUGAAUGUAAAAGUGCAAAAAACGUAAAUUCACAUAACCAUUUUCCAAAUUCAAUGCAACCAAUUGGAAACAAGUACUCUGAAUGAAUGAAAUUG